GAUCAUGGCUCAGGACGAACGCUGGCGGCGUGCUUAACACAUGCAAGUCGAACGAGAGGACAAGAGAAGCUUGCUUCUUUUGGAAUCGAGUGGCAAACGGGUGAGUAACACGUAAACAACCUGCCUUCAGGAUGGGACGAACAGACGGAAACGACUGCUAAUACCGAAUACGCUUGGGAGACCGCAUGAUCUUUCCAAGGAAAGGGUGGCCUCUACCUGUAAGCUAUCGCCUGAAGAGGGGUUUUGCGU
This 249-nucleotide ribosomal RNA is filed under the name uncultured bacterium. Its description in RNAcentral is "partial 16S ribosomal RNA". It matches the Rfam family "Bacterial small subunit ribosomal RNA", at positions 15 to 236 of the family's 1533-position model. The record is from RNAcentral.